UGCCUGUGUUUGUUUUGACUGGUGUGUUGUUCUGGAUCUCACGCCCACAGGCUGGAAAGGAUCGCAAUCUCAUCCACAUUCUUCGAGGACCCCAAUUCGCUCAACAAGGUUCCUUGCCCCUCAAUUUACGAUCCUGCUGAGAAGUACAUUUCGUCAAUCAUCCCUGCUUAUAACGAGGAGCACCGGCUUCCUGAGGCUCUUUCAGAAACACUCGACUAUCAGAAACAACGUUCAGCUACCGACAAGUCAUUUACUUAUGAGGUAUGACAGGGCAGAACAUGUUAGAAACUUUUAUUCGAUACAUCAAUACAUCAGAAAGAAAGAAAAAACAUUUGGCUAAUUAUGCUAGCAAAACUAAGUAUGCACAAAUGAGAAAGUGUGCAUUUCAGUAUCAUGAGAUAUGUUAGUGAGCAGGUUAAUCAAUUCACCGCACUGGAAACAGUCCAUUAGAAUUGUAAAUUUGUAAUAACUGUUCCUACCCAUAUGUUGUUUUCUACCUAAGAUAUAUCAAUAUCCUGUUUGGA
Oryza brachyantha (malo sina) is the source of this 524-nucleotide long non-coding RNA. RefSeq lists it as uncharacterized. Lineage: Eukaryota; Viridiplantae; Streptophyta; Magnoliopsida; Poales; Poaceae. The transcript has 3 exons. The record is from RefSeq and is a predicted model, not a curated record.